UGCCUAAUACAUGCAAGUCGAACGAGUUCUCGUUGAUGAUCGGUGCUUGCACCGAGAUUCAACAUGGAACGAGUGGCGGACGGGUGAGUAACACGUGGGUAACCUGCCCUUAAGUGGGGGAUAACAUUUGGAAACAGAUGCUAAUACCGCAUAGAUCCAAGAACCGCAUGGUUCUUGGCUGAAAGAUGGCGUAAGCUAUCGCUUUUGGAUGGACCCGCGGCGUAUUAGCUAGUUGGUGAGGUAAUGGCUCACCAAGGCGAUGAUACGUAGCCGAACUGAGAGGUUGAUCGGCCACAUUGGGACUGAGACACGGCCCAAACUCCUACGGGAGGCAGCAGUAGGGAAUCUUCCACAAUGGACGCAAGUCUGAUGGAGCAACGCCGCGUGAGUGAAGAAGGCUUUCGGGUCGUAAAACUCUGUUGUUGGAGAAGAAUGGUCGGCAGAGUAACUGUUGUCGGCGUGACGGUAUCCAACCAGAAAGCCACGGCUAACUACGUGCCAGCAGCCGCGGUAAUACGUAGGUGGCAAGCGUUAUCCGGAUUUAUUGGGCGUAAAGCGAGCGCAGGCGGUUUUUUAAGUCUGAUGUGAAAGCCCUCGGCUUAACCGAGGAAGCGCAUCGGAAACUGGGAAACUUGAGUGCAGAAGAGGACAGUGGAACUCCAUGUGUAGCGGUGAAAUGCGUAGAUAUAUGGAAGAACACCAGUGGCGAAGGCGGCUGUCUGGUCUGUAACUGACGCUGAGGCUCGAAAGCAUGGGUAGCGAACAGGAUUAGAUACCCUGGUAGUCCAUGCCGUAAACGAUGAAUGCUAGGUGUUGGAGGGUUUCCGCCCUUCAGUGCCGCAGCUAACGCAUUAAGCAUUCCGCCUGGGGAGUACGACCGCAAGGUUGAAACUCAAAGGAAUUGACGGGGGCCCGCACAAGCGGUGGAGCAUGUGGUUUAAUUCGAAGCAACGCGAAGAACCUUACCAGGUCUUGACAUCUUUUGAUCACCUGAGAGAUCAGGUUUCCCCUUCGGGGGCAAAAUGACAGGUGGUGCAUGGUUGUCGUCAGCUCGUGUCGUGAGAUGUUGGGUUAAGUCCCGCAACGAGCGCAACCCUUAUGACUAGUUGCCAGCAUUUAGUUGGGCACUCUAGUAAGACUGCCGGUGACAAACCGGAGGAAGGUGGGGAUGACGUCAAAUCAUCAUGCCCCUUAUGACCUGGGCUACACACGUGCUACAAUGGAUGGUACAACGAGUUGCGAGACCGCGAGGUCAAGCUAAUCUCUUAAAGCCAUUCUCAGUUCGGACUGUAGGCUGCAACUCGCCUACACGAAGUCGGAAUCGCUAGUAAUCGCGGAUCAGCACGCCGCGGUGAAUACGUUCCCGGGCCUUGUACACACCGCCCGUCACACCAUGAGAGUUUGUAACACCCGAAGCCGGUGGCGUAACCCUUUUAGGGAGCGAGCCGUCUAA
This 1453-nucleotide ribosomal RNA is filed under the name Lacticaseibacillus paracasei. Its description in RNAcentral is "bacterial SSU rRNA". It matches the Rfam family "Bacterial small subunit ribosomal RNA". RNAcentral also lists the same sequence under 1 other name. The record is from RNAcentral. Lineage: Bacteria; Bacillati; Bacillota; Bacilli; Lactobacillales; Lactobacillaceae.